RNAcentral lists this unclassified non-coding RNA (296 nucleotides) under Ambisporaceae sp. RNAcentral's name for it is "partial contains 5.8S ribosomal RNA and internal transcribed spacer 2". The stretch from base 1 to 71 matches the Rfam family "5.8S ribosomal RNA", at positions 84 to 154 of the family's 154-position model. Lineage: Eukaryota; Fungi; Glomeromycota; Glomeromycetes; Archaeosporales; Ambisporaceae. The record is from RNAcentral.
GUGAAUCAUCGAAUUUUUGAACGCAUAUUGCACUCUCUGGUAUUCCGGAGAGUAUGCCUGUUUGAGGGUAAUUAAAAAGAAUCUCUUACCUGUUUUUUGUUGUCAAAGGAAAUGAGCUCUCCGCGUUUAUAGCGGUAUCUUGAAAUGAAUGGUCAAGACUCAUUUUAGUCGAGACGCGUAAUAAUAUUAUCUCGCGAAAUCUUCAUUAUGUGACUAUCAAGUUUUUAUACAUACAAAUCUGCUUUGUAUGCGAUCAUUACAAAUAUUUUGCACAUUACCUCAAAUCAGGUAUGAGU